This 1365-nucleotide long non-coding RNA is filed under the name Ictidomys tridecemlineatus (thirteen-lined ground squirrel). RNAcentral describes it as "lncRNA (ENSSTOG00000030913.1)". The record is from RNAcentral. Lineage: Eukaryota; Metazoa; Chordata; Mammalia; Rodentia; Sciuridae.
GCCUCCCCAGAUACUCCCUCCCAGUCCUCCUAACCCUGCAGAUCCCCAACCCCCACCCCUUUCCCAUUUGGUCUCUCUUCUCAGCAACUUUACCUCCUUACCUCUCUUUGACCUCCUUUCCUCUCCUUCACAGUUUGGCCCUUGACUUCGGGGCCUUCUUACCUUUCUUUACCUGAAAUGAUCUGCCCCUUACCCGGGUCUCCUUCACACCCUCCUCUCUGGUCCUAACCCUUCUGCGGCCAAGCCCAGCACAGCUCCCCGGCUCGGCCUGGUCAGCUUGAGCUGUAUUUUGUUCGAGUGCCCCUGGCCUACGAAAGGAGUGUGUAGUGUAAAGUGGGGCCAAGUGUCCCCCCGGGCUGGGGCCACUGCCUCGCCCCCUCCGCCCCUCCCGAGUCCCGGUUGCGGCGCUUCCUGGGCGGAUGGUUUGGACUUGCUGCAGCAGCUGCGGUUCUGCUGUGUCAUGCAAGAAGGAGGCGGCGGCGGCCGGAGCUGGAGUGGGAGGAGGGGAGGAACCUGAUCCUCCGGUAGCGAAGGGCUGGAGGCAAACACCGAGCUCCCCCAGAGCCGCCCGGAGCAGGGAGGGCUCCGCUACCCCGAGGGGCCCUCCCCGCGGGGCCGAGGGUCCUGGGUGAUGACAAAAAGAGCAAUUUGCUUUCCCUCAUCUAUCCGAUCCCAUCACACCACUCUGAAUCAAUUGAUGGAAUCUGGGGAAUCCAUUUCCGUGCCCUAAAUUCUGUAAGAACCUCUUACAGAAGCCACCAGCUUCUCAGUUUGUUAUUGACUCUGCAUAAAGGUGUUGGCUGCUAUCAGCAGAAGCCAUAAAGAAUAUCACAGAGGAAAAGGUUGACUUGGUUGGGAGAACAUGGAAAUCUACAACAAAGUGUCCUUGAAGUAGAAAUUUUAGAAACUAAAAUAAUACAUGUACUUUAAGCGAUACUAAAAAUGCUGUGACAUCCUGUGUUAUUUAGUUAGACCAGAGGACAGCAAACUUCUUCUAUAAAGAGCCAGACAGGAAGUAUUUUAGGCUUUCCUGGCCAUGCAGUCUUUCUCAAUUACUCCAUUCUGCCACUAUAGUGAGAAAAUAGCCAUAGUGAUAGGUAAAUGAACAAGCCAGUUGUUUCAAUAAAACUUUAUUCAUGUACACUGUAGUGUUUAUUUCACAUAAUUUCCCCAUGAUAUGAAGUAUAGUUCUUUUCUUGAUUUUUUUUUACCCCCAACUGUUUUAAAAAUGUAAAAACAAUCCUUAGCUCACAGGCCACAUAAAACAAGGCAUGAGUUGGAUUUGGACUGUGGGCAGUAUAUUAGCAACAUCUGGUUUAGACACACAUGAAGAUGAUGAGAACAAUAUUCAGAUUUGGACUUAUA